UAACAAGGAUUCCCCUAGUAACUGCGAGUGAAGCGGGAAAAGCUCAAAUUUAAAAUCUGGCAGUCUCUGGCUGUCCGAGUUGUAAUCUAGAGAAGUAAUGCCCGUGCUGGACCGUGUAUAAGUCUCCUGGGAUGGGGCGUCAUAGAGGGUGAGAAUCCCGUCUUUGACACGGACUACCAGUGCAUUGUGGUAUGCUCUCAAAGAGUCGAGUUGUUUGGGAAUGCAGCUCAAAAUGGGUGGUAAAUUCCAUCUAAAGCUAAAUAUUGGCGAGAGACCGAUAGCGAACAAGUACCGUGAGGGAAAGAUGAAAAGAACUUUGGAAAGAGAGUUAAACAGUACGUGAAAUUGCUGAAAGGGAAACGCUUGAAGUCAGUCGCGUUGGCCGGGGAUCAGCCUUGCUUUUGCAUGGUGUAUUUUCUGGUUGACGGGUCAGCAUCAAUUUUGAUCACUGGAAAAGGCUCAAGGGAAUGUGGCAGCUUAGGCUGUGUUAUAGCCCCUGUUCACAUACAGUGGUUGGGAUUGAGGAACUCAGCACGCCGCAAGGCCGGGUUUCGACCACGUUCGUGCUUAGGAUGCUGGCAUAAUGGCUUUAAGCGACCCGUCUUGAAACACGGACCAAGGAGUCUAACAUGCCUGCGAGUAUUUGGGUGGAAAACCCGAGUGCGCAAUGAAAGUGAAAGUUGAGAUCCCUGUCGUGGGGAGCAUCGACGCCCGGACCAGAACUUUUGGGACGGAUCCGCGGUGGAGCAUGUAUGUUGGGACCCGAAAGAUGGUGAACUAUGCCUGAAUAGGGUGAAGCCAGAGGAAACUCUGGUGGAGGCUCGUAGCGAUUCUGACGUGCAAAUCGAUCGUCAAAUUUGGGUAUAGG
RNAcentral lists this ribosomal RNA (868 nucleotides) under Agaricus litoraloides. RNAcentral describes it as "partial large subunit ribosomal RNA". It matches the Rfam family "Eukaryotic large subunit ribosomal RNA", at positions 66 to 921 of the family's 3401-position model. The record is from RNAcentral. Lineage: Eukaryota; Fungi; Basidiomycota; Agaricomycetes; Agaricales; Agaricaceae.